Molecule: non-coding RNA, 1559 nt
Organism: Cyanistes caeruleus (blue tit)
Lineage: Eukaryota; Metazoa; Chordata; Aves; Passeriformes; Paridae
Source: RefSeq, a predicted model, not a curated record
ACUGCUGUCCUGCACCCCACAAAGGAUUUCUUCACCAAAAAGAAGAAAUCCUUUGUGUUUGGAGAAUUCCUCCACCACCCCUAAGUUCUGCUUUCCUCUGCCCUGUUUCAAGAAUGGAGGAGGUGCUGGGAGCAGCAGUGUGUCUCCCUUAAGUGUGUGAUGGGAUGCAAGGCACAGCUGGAGGAGGAAGAAAAACCUUUUCCAAACCCCCUCCAAGCUUUGUGUGUUUGCACAGAGCUGGAUGUUGGAAUCAGAGAGCAGCCACCACAAGGAAAGGUUGGGAAAGAAAGGAUGUGGACUUUGUGGCUUAGCCACGGAUGUCAGGCACCUCACAGCAUCCAUCUGUGCUGCAGAGAAAGAAGCCCAGUGCUGAGGAGGAAACACCAGCUGCCACCACAGCAGGGAAGGGACCCCAUGACUGAACAUUUUAAGCAUAACUUGUUCCCCUCUUGCCCUUUCAACUCUUGAGAGGCAUCUGUCGGUGAGUGGUGGAAGGCUUAACUGUUACUCAGGCACCUUUUCCUACCUCUUUAUCCCCUUCCACUGCAGUAUUUCAUUCUCUCUUAAGCACCUUCUGCAAUGUUUCAGUUUUGUUUGAGCUCCAUAGUGUUCCUGACCCAGUUGUGUCUCAGCUAUGUGAGGGGACAGAUUCCAUGCAUGUGAAGGUUCUUGCCUCAGGGGGAAAAAGGAGCAUUUAUUCCAGAGGCUCCAAGCCUCUUACCAGCCAGUUUGAUAGCACCAAGUCCCCAAAUUCUGUGUGCCCCAAUCCCUAGCCUGCCCUGGUGGGUGCAGUGUGUGGUUUAGAGCACAGCAACCUGUUCCUGGCAGGGCAAUGGACUGAGAUGCUCUUCAAAGUCCCCUUCCACUCCAAACCAUUCUGGGAAUCUCUGUUGGAAUUCUCAGUUUAGUAAGAAAAAUUACUUCAUUUUGCAUGAUAGGUGAAAUUGAGAAGGGAUGUGCAGUGGAGGGCUGUAGGGAGGGGUAGGAUCAAGCUCUUAGUGCUGGCUUGAUUUUGACAGGAUAAAAGGUCACCUCCCUUUGGGCAGCCACUUUCCGCCUGGUCUGCUUUCCCCCCUCACCAACAGCUGUAGGACAGAAGGUCUGGAUGAGUUCCCUGGGGACUUCACCUCCCUCUGGCAGGCUGGCACUGUUCCCAGGGCAGUCUGGGAGUGCAGCACCAGCUGUCCCAUGUCUGGCUGUAGCUGGCUAUCCCUCUGGCUGGAACAGCAGCUCCCAGGUUGUUCUGGAUGUGCUGAUGGCAGAGCUGCUGUGUCACACUGGGGUGAGGGAUCAGUGGCUCUCUCAGUGUGAACGCAGCACGUGUCUAUCAACACCGGAGCCACAUUGCUGCCUUUUCUCCCUCUUUUUAGGUUCAACUUUGUCAGGAAACAGCAAAUUUCAUCCACAUAUAAGAAGGGAAUCUCCUAGAAUCAUGGAAUGAAUCACUGAGGUUGGGAAGGACUGCUGAGACCAGCAAGUCCAGCCAAGUUCCCCAGCACUGCCAGGGCCACCACUACCCCUGUUCCCAAGUGCCACAUCCACGUGCCUUUUAAAUCUCU